Molecule: transfer RNA, 73 nt
Filed under: Prasinoderma coloniale
Lineage: Eukaryota; Viridiplantae; Prasinodermophyta; Prasinodermophyceae; Prasinodermales; Prasinodermaceae
Description: tRNA-Val
Rfam family: tRNA
About the family: Transfer RNA (tRNA) molecules are approximately 80 nucleotides in length. Their secondary structure includes four short double-helical elements and three loops (D, anti-codon, and T loops).
Source: RNAcentral
GGGUGCUUAGCUCAGUUGGUAGAGUGUGUCCCUUACAAGGAUACUGUCAGCGGUUCGAGUCCGUUAGCACCUA